GGCUGGUCUGAGUGCAGUGGUGUUUACAACUAAUUGAUCACAACCAGUUACAGAUCUCUUUGUUCCUUCCAGUUCCACUGCUUCACUUGACUAGCCUAAA
Unclassified non-coding RNA from Aotus nancymaae (Ma's night monkey), 100 nucleotides. It matches the Rfam family "Y RNA". From Rfam's summary of the family: Y RNAs are components of the Ro ribonucleoprotein particle (Ro RNP), in association with Ro60 and La proteins. The Y RNAs and Ro60 and La proteins are well conserved, but the function of the Ro RNP is not known. Lineage: Eukaryota; Metazoa; Chordata; Mammalia; Primates; Aotidae. The record is from Ensembl.